GGCUCAGGACGAACGCUGGCGGCGUGCUUAACACAUGCAAGUCGAACGAUGAAGCUGGAGCUUGCUCUGGUGGAUUAGUGGCGAACGGGUGAGUAACACGUGAGUAACCUGCCCUGGACUCUGGGAUAAGCGUUGGAAACGACGUCUAAUACCGGAUAGGACCUCGGAUCGCAUGAUCUGGGGUGGAAAGUUUUUCGGUCUGGGAUGGACUCGCGGCCUAUCAGCUUGUUGGUGAGGUAAUGGCUCACCAAGGCGUCGACGGGUAGCCGGCCUGAGAGGGUGACCGGCCACACUGGGACUGAGACACGGCCCAGACUCCUACGGGAGGCAGCAGUGGGGAAUAUUGCACAAUGGGCGCAAGCCUGAUGCAGCAACGCCGCGUGCGGGAUGACGGCCUUCGGGUUGUAAACCGCUUUUAGUAGGGAAGAAGGGCUUCGGCUUGACGGUACCUGCAGAAAAAGGACCGGCUAACUACGUGCCAGCAGCCGCGGUAAUACGUAGGGUCCGAGCGUUGUCCGGAAUUAUUGGGCGUAAAGAGCUCGUAGGCGGUUUGUCGCGUCUGCUGUGAAAACUAGAGGCUCAACCUCUAGCCUGCAGUGGGUACGGGCAGACUUGAGUGCGGUAGGGGAGAAUGGAAUUCCUGGUGUAGCGGUGGAAUGCGCAGAUAUCAGGAGGAACACCGAUGGCGAAGGCAGUUCUCUGGGCCGUAACUGACGCUGAGGAGCGAAAGCGUGGGGAGCGAACAGGAUUAGAUACCCUGGUAGUCCACGCCGUAAACGUUGGGCGCUAGAUGUGGGGACCUUUCCACGGUUUCCGUGUCGUAGCUAACGCAUUAAGCGCCCC
Molecule: ribosomal RNA, 843 nt
Filed under: Agromyces sp.
Lineage: Bacteria; Bacillati; Actinomycetota; Actinomycetes; Micrococcales; Microbacteriaceae
Description: bacterial SSU rRNA
Rfam family: Bacterial small subunit ribosomal RNA
Source: RNAcentral